AGCAGGUUUGAGUUUUAUUUUGUAACAGCCAUCUAAUAUUUAUUUUGAUUUAUGCAGCUGGCGUACUGUAUCCCUAUCCAACCUCACCAUUCUGACUGUGUUACAAAAGCUGGAGACACAGAGCUAGAUGCUUGUUGUGCUGCAAGAGGAAAUUAGUUCAAAUCUAAACCAUUUAAAUACGUUACAGCUCAGGGAGGCACCAGAAGCUUUAAUUUCUCAGAAUCACUAGGAGCACUGGAGCCAUGGCAGCAAUUCAGAACAUGUCAAAUACUGUAACAAUGAUAAGUCCAAUAAAUGAAGCUUCAUCAAGCACAUGAAGUUAAUGACAAUAUCUGUCAGUAUUUUAGUAUUUUUUAUUAUCUAUCCAGUCUGCGAGGAUUAACAUUUUACCGAAUGCCAAAAU
Molecule: non-coding RNA, 403 nt
Organism: Notechis scutatus (mainland tiger snake)
Lineage: Eukaryota; Metazoa; Chordata; Lepidosauria; Squamata; Elapidae
Source: RefSeq, a predicted model, not a curated record